Molecule: ribosomal RNA, 876 nt
Filed under: Pseudomonas sp.
Lineage: Bacteria; Pseudomonadati; Pseudomonadota; Gammaproteobacteria; Pseudomonadales; Pseudomonadaceae
Description: bacterial SSU rRNA
Source: RNAcentral
GCAAGUCGAGCGGAUGAAGUGAGCUUGCUCAUGGAUUCAGCGGCGGACGGGUGAGUAAUGCCUAGGAAUCUGCCUGGUAGUGGGGGACAACGUUUCGAAAGGAACGCUAAUACCGCAUACGUCCUACGGGAGAAAGCAGGGGACCUUCGGGCCUUGCGCUAUCAGAUGAGCCUAGGUCGGAUUAGCUAGUUGGUGGGGUAAUGGCUCACCAAGGCGACGAUCCGUAACUGGUCUGAGAGGAUGAUCAGUCACACUGGAACUGAGACACGGUCCAGACUCCUACGGGAGGCAGCAGUGGGGAAUAUUGGACAAUGGGCGAAAGCCUGAUCCAGCCAUGCCGCGUGUGUGAAGAAGGUCUUCGGAUUGUAAAGCACUUUAAGUUGGGAGGAAGGGCAGUAAGCGAAUACCUUGCUGUUUUGACGUUACCGACAGAAUAAGCACCGGCUAACUCUGUGCCAGCAGCCGCGGUAAUACAGAGGGUGCAAGCGUUAAUCGGAAUUACUGGGCGUAAAGCGCGCGUAGGUGGUUCGUUAAGUUGGAUGUGAAAGCCCCGGGCUCAACCUGGGAACUGCAUCCAAAACUGGCGAGCUAGAGUAUGGUAGAGGGUGGUGGAAUUUCCUGUGUAGCGGUGAAAUGCGUAGAUAUAGGAAGGAACACCAGUGGCGAAGGCGACCACCUGGACCGAUACUGACACUGAGGUGCGAAAGCGUGGGGAGCARACAGGAUUAGAUACCCUGGUAGUCCACGCCGUAAACGAUGUCAACUAGCCGUUGGGGUCCUUGAGACUUUAGUGGCGCAGCUAACGCAUWAAGUUGACCGCCUGGGGAGUACGGCCGCMAGGUUAAAACUCAAAUGAAUUGACGGGGGCCCGCACAA